Molecule: transfer RNA, 81 nt
Filed under: Podarcis lilfordi (Lilford's wall lizard)
Lineage: Eukaryota; Metazoa; Chordata; Lepidosauria; Squamata; Lacertidae
Description: tRNA.Lys
Source: RNAcentral
GCCUUGGACCUGGGAUAGCUCAGUUAGUAGAGCAUUAGUCUCUUAAUCUCAAGGUUGUGGGUUUGAGCCUCAUGUUGGGCA